CGCUUAGCAAGUUAACAAACAUAUAGUCUCAGAUAUCCGAGUAUAAAAUAGAAAUAAAAAGAAAAUAAUUCAAAAUUCAGAACAAACAUAAAAUUUUACAUAAAAAAUGAACUGCAAUUUUCGGUAAACUUAGUAAAAUGGCUUUGCUCCGUAACUGUAACUGUAACCAAAAAUUCUCAAAUUCUUUUAUAAGACAAUGGAAAUAAAAAUUGGACAAGGCACUUUGUAUUCGUACAAACUA
This is a long non-coding RNA of Bradysia coprophila, 241 nucleotides long. Lineage: Eukaryota; Metazoa; Arthropoda; Insecta; Diptera; Sciaridae. The record is from RefSeq and is a predicted model, not a curated record.